Molecule: long non-coding RNA, 1011 nt
Filed under: Ananas comosus (pineapple)
Lineage: Eukaryota; Viridiplantae; Streptophyta; Magnoliopsida; Poales; Bromeliaceae
Description: long non-coding RNA (ACOM_LNC002622)
Source: RNAcentral
AGAAAAAAAAAAAAAAACGACAGAAACGAAGAGGAGAGAGAAAGAGGAAAGAGAAAAAGUAAUAAGGGUAUUUUGGUCAGUUUGCUGAAAAAGCGGACCGAAUCUGCAAAAACGAAAAAGGUGACCCGGUUUUGCAAAAGCCCAAAAUAAGUGGAUUUUUUAUGCAAAAAGGCCUAUUAUUUAUGGAAAGUGUGAUUUUUUUUUUAUGCCAAUUGUUGAAAUCGAUAUUUAUGCUGAUAUCGAUUAUGUAAUUCAAGAUCUAAAUUCGAAUAAAAUAAUAUAAAGAAAAAAUAUUGGAGAGGGAAGAAAAAAACUAAACUAAUACUUUAUUAAUAAAAAGCAAGACGAAACCCAUAUAGCCAUGUCUGCUAUGACUUAUUCAUCUAAUUAAUUUAUUCUGAACUAUAUAUAUAUCUAUCAAAUCAUAACAGGUUAUAAAUUCAACUUUUAUUUCGAAUAAUUAUAAAUUAUACUCUAAUUAUAUAAAUUUUUAAAUAUAAUCAAUAUAUAUUUUGGAUAUACUUUAUUUUUAACUAAAUUCUAUCGAGGGCAAAUUUUAUCUAAUAUGUUCGUUUAUAUGUCGUUUCGAAGUAGGACCCCAUAUUUUUUCUAUUGAAAUUUCUUCAACUGUAAUUUCUUUCUUCAUGCUGUACCGCAAUACCUAAUGAAGCUAAUAAAUUAUUUUAAUUUAAUUAAGUUGAAAUUACUUAAAUAAAAAAAUCAAUAAUUUAGGGUACUAAUUAGGAAAAAACUUUAAAUACUAUCCAUAUAGUUUCGCACUUUUUAAUUUUAGUAUUCUAUAGUUUAAAGUGCAUUCUUUUUUUAUUAUUCUCUAUAUUAAUUUUUUUCGUUAAAUUAGUGAUAAAAUUAAAACUAAAAAGUAUUAAAAUAAAUAUUCGAUAAACUUAGGUGUGGUAUCUGAAAUUUUUUGUAUAUAAUUUAACAAAAUAUUAAUGAAGGAACUGAGAAAAUAAAAAUAUAAAAUCACAUAGUACUAAAAUUAUACACUAA